RNAcentral lists this ribosomal RNA (406 nucleotides) under uncultured bacterium. RNAcentral describes it as "partial 16S ribosomal RNA". It matches the Rfam family "Bacterial small subunit ribosomal RNA", at positions 30 to 526 of the family's 1533-position model. The record is from RNAcentral.
AUUGAACGCUGGCGGCAGGCCUAACACAUGCAAGUCGAACGAGUGGCGGACGGGUGAGUAAUGUCUGGGAAACUGCCCGAUGGAGGGGGAUAACUACUGGAAACGGUAGCUAAUACCGCAUACCAUCGGAUGUGCCCCGAUGGGAUUAGCUAGUAGGUGGGGUAACGGCUCACCUAGGCGACGAUCCCUAGCUGGUCUUAGAGGAUGACCAGCCACAAUGGAACUGUGACACGGUCCAGACUCCGACGGGAGGCAGCAGUGGGGAAGAUUGCACAAUGGGCGAAAGCCGGAUGCAGCAAUGCCGCGUGGAUGAAGAAGGCCUUCGGGUUGUAAAGUACUUUCAGCGAGGAGGCGUUACUCGCAGAAGAAGCACCGGCUAACUCCGUGCCAGCAGCCGCGGUAAUAC